Molecule: ribosomal RNA, 254 nt
Filed under: uncultured bacterium
Lineage: Bacteria
Description: partial 16S ribosomal RNA
Rfam family: Bacterial small subunit ribosomal RNA
Source: RNAcentral
UACGGGGGGAGCAAGCGUUGUUCGGAUUUACUGGGCGUAAAGGGCGCGUAGGCGGUCAGCACAAGACAGAUGUGAAAUCCCCGGGCUUAACCUGGGAACUGCAUUUGUGACUGCAUAGCUGGAGUACGGCAGAGGGGGAUGGAAUUCCGCGUGUAGCAGUGAAAUGCGUAGAUAUGCGGAGGAACACCGAUGGCGAAGGCAGUCCCCUGGGCCUGUACUGACGCUCAUGCACGAAAGCGUGGGGAGCAAACAGG